UACGUAGGGCGCAAGCGUUGUCCGGAAUUAUUGGGCCUAAAGCAUCCGUAGCCGGUUCUACAAGUCUUCCGUUAAAUCCACCUGCUUAACAGAUGGGCUGCGGAGGAUACUAGAGAGCUAGGAGGCGGGAGAGGCAAGCGGUACUUAGUGGGUAGGGGUAAAAUCCGUUGAUCCAUUGAAGACCGCCAGUGGCGAAGGCGGCUUGCCAGAACGCACUCGACGGUGAGGGAUGAAAGCUGGGGGAGCAAACCGG
RNAcentral lists this ribosomal RNA (253 nucleotides) under uncultured bacterium. Its description in RNAcentral is "partial 16S ribosomal RNA". It matches the Rfam family "Bacterial small subunit ribosomal RNA", at positions 524 to 776 of the family's 1533-position model. The record is from RNAcentral.